GAUGAAGAACGUAGCGAAAUGCGAUAAGUAGUGUGAAUUGCAGAAUUCAGUGAAUCAUCGAAUCUUUGAACGCACAUUGCGCCUUCUAGUAUUCUGCGAGGCAUGCCUGUUUGAGCGUCAUUAAACCUCUCUCAAGUAUGAUUACUUGGAUGUGAAGGAAGAGUACCUUAAACUUAAGGAGUGUUCUCCUUUGAAAUUGAUUAGCAGAUGGUAAUGUUAUUAAAUCCCUGAUGUUGUAAGAAAUAACAGUGGUUUUGUAGACUAUUAUCUAGCUUUAAAUUAUAAUUUUUAUUAUGGUUGACCUCAAAUCAGGUAAGGAUACCCGCUGAACUUAAGCAUAUCAAUAAGCGGAGGA
RNAcentral lists this unclassified non-coding RNA (355 nucleotides) under soil metagenome. RNAcentral's name for it is "partial contains 5.8S ribosomal RNA, internal transcribed spacer 2, and large subunit ribosomal RNA". The stretch from base 1 to 120 matches the Rfam family "5.8S ribosomal RNA", at positions 35 to 154 of the family's 154-position model. The record is from RNAcentral.